UCCUCUAUAGCUCAAUCAGGCAGAGCGGUUGACUGUUAAUCAAUAGGUUCCUGGUUCGAUUCCAGGUGGAGGAG
Molecule: transfer RNA, 74 nt
Filed under: Synechococcus phage S-CAM1
Lineage: Duplodnaviria; Heunggongvirae; Uroviricota; Caudoviricetes; Pantevenvirales; Kyanoviridae
Rfam family: tRNA
About the family: Transfer RNA (tRNA) molecules are approximately 80 nucleotides in length. Their secondary structure includes four short double-helical elements and three loops (D, anti-codon, and T loops).
Source: Rfam by way of RNAcentral